Molecule: long non-coding RNA, 1044 nt
Filed under: Capra hircus (goat)
Lineage: Eukaryota; Metazoa; Chordata; Mammalia; Artiodactyla; Bovidae
Description: lncRNA (ENSCHIG00010020096.1)
Source: RNAcentral
GUUUACAGAAAUACACUGAAAAAGGCUUCACCUCAGGAGAGAGAAUGAGGCCAGGAGUGUGGUCUUACUUUUGGCUUGUACUUUUCCUUCUCCAGGGGAUCUUCGCGACCCAGGCAGGUGGGUUCUUUACCACUAGCGCCAUCUGGAAGCCCAUUGAGACCAUGCAGCUUAAUAUUAAGGAAUGAGACUGAGGUUUUGAUUCAUCGUCUGGAUCUGUGUCUCCAAUCUGAAUAAACUUUCCAUUAAGAUUCCCUGCCCUCUGAAGCCCACUUAGUGGGAUUCUGCAGAGGUUGGAGAAACAACAAAUUUCUGCCCUGAGGCAGAAAAAAAGAAAAAGUCCUGAGGCAGGAAGGCCCCGGAGACUAGUGUUUGAGAUGGCACUUCUUGAGCCAGUUCCUUAAGUCAGGGCAGCCCCAACAGGGUCGCAGAGUAUCUAUCCUUUCCCCAGGAAGGUAUCUCAGGUCUUCUGCCUAAUCUCACACCCUAUUUUGAGAAGGUGGAUUGGGUGGAUCAGAAGUUGCCUGCCCCUUUUCAGAGUGAAUCGUUUUACGCUCGUCAAACUAGGAGAAUUCUGUCUGCUGAGAAGAAACUGUUCAACAGUGAGUUCUACAGGCAGGUUGGAUUUAGGAAGGGGUGUUCCCUGUCCCACCAGCUCUGGGGAACCAUAUCAGUCCCGGGGCUGCUCUGGGGCUGAAAAGCAAGGUUGGGAUCUGGUACACAGCGCCCUCGGUAGGGCAGGAGCGACCUUCCUUGAAGUCAAAGACCCGGGAACUCUUGCACGUGUGCUGGUUUCCAGCUUCCUCAUCAGUGCUGCAUUCUGCCGGGACCUUCACUCGGCCCAACGCUCCGUCCACAGGUGUCCCCCUGCCCAGGCUUGGAAGCCCAAAACCGCUCCUGGGAACUGCAAACCCACAUCCUAACCUGGGAUAAGCACUCCGCGGCGUGUUGACAGGCACCGGGGGGAGGGGUGGAGCUUCCGGCUGCGCACUUCCGCUUCCUGUUUCAGCGUAGGUUCUUAGUGUCUACUCUGGCCUAGGCUUAGCA